GUGGGGGAAAUAGAAUCUUUUUUUUUUUUUUCUGUUGGGCCGGAGUGCAGAGGCUGCAGACAACAGCCUCAUGGUUGGUUUCUGCAGCCUGUUACUUAUAUGGGUUAUCCUAAGACAUAAACUAGACAGCU
Molecule: small nucleolar RNA, 131 nt
Organism: Sorex araneus (European shrew)
Lineage: Eukaryota; Metazoa; Chordata; Mammalia; Eulipotyphla; Soricidae
Product: small nucleolar RNA SNORA70
Exons: 1
Source: RefSeq, a predicted model, not a curated record